Molecule: transfer RNA, 75 nt
Filed under: Camelus bactrianus (Bactrian camel)
Lineage: Eukaryota; Metazoa; Chordata; Mammalia; Artiodactyla; Camelidae
Also listed under: 2 other names
Rfam family: tRNA
About the family: Transfer RNA (tRNA) molecules are approximately 80 nucleotides in length.
Source: Rfam by way of RNAcentral
AGGUAUAUAGCCCAGUGGUAGAGCAUGUGCUUAGCACGCAUGAGGUGGUCCUGGGUUCAAUCCCCAGUACCUCCA